ACGAACGCUGGCGGCGUGCUUAACACAUGCAAGUCGAACGGAAAGGCCCUGCUUUUGUGGGGUGCUCGAGUGGCGAACGGGUGAGUAACACGUGAGUAACCUGCCCUUGACUUUGGGAUAACUUCAGGAAACUGGGGCUAAUACCGGAUAGGAGCUCCUGCUGCCUGGUGGGGGUUGGAAAGUUUCGGCGGCUGGGGAUGGACUCGCGGCUUAUCAGCUUGUUGGUGGGGUAGUGGCUUACCAAGGCUUUGACGGGUAGCCGGCCUGAGAGGGUGACCGGCCACAUUGGGACUGAGAUACGGCCCAGACUCCUACGGGAGGCAGCAGUGGGGAAUAUUGCACAAUGGGCGGAAGCCUGAUGCAGCAACGCCGCGUGCGGGAUGACGGCCUUCGGGUUGUAAACCGCUUUCGCCUGUGACGAAGCGUGAGUGACGGUAAUGGGUAAAGAAGCACCGGCUAACUACGUG
RNAcentral lists this ribosomal RNA (467 nucleotides) under uncultured bacterium. RNAcentral describes it as "partial 16S ribosomal RNA". It matches the Rfam family "Bacterial small subunit ribosomal RNA", at positions 29 to 507 of the family's 1533-position model. The record is from RNAcentral.